GGCUGGUCUGAAGGCAGUAUCUCACUUGAUUGUUCAGUCAGUUACAGACUGAACUCCUCGUUCUUCUCUUUUCCCCCUUCUUAGACUGCACUUAACUAGUCUUAA
Molecule: unclassified non-coding RNA, 105 nt
Organism: Otolemur garnettii (small-eared galago)
Lineage: Eukaryota; Metazoa; Chordata; Mammalia; Primates; Galagidae
Rfam family: Y RNA
About the family: Y RNAs are components of the Ro ribonucleoprotein particle (Ro RNP), in association with Ro60 and La proteins. The Y RNAs and Ro60 and La proteins are well conserved, but the function of the Ro RNP is not known. In humans the RNA component can be one of four small RNAs -- hY1, hY3, hY4 and hY5.
Source: Ensembl